This 382-nucleotide ribosomal RNA is filed under the name uncultured Cryptomonadales. RNAcentral's name for it is "partial small subunit ribosomal RNA". It matches the Rfam family "Eukaryotic small subunit ribosomal RNA", at positions 30 to 432 of the family's 1831-position model. The record is from RNAcentral. Lineage: Eukaryota; Cryptophyceae; Cryptomonadales.
GCUUGUCUCAAAGAUUAAGCCAUGCAUGUCUUAGUGUAAAUAACUCUUAUGAAACUGCGAAUGGCUCAUUAAAUCAGUUAUCGUUUAUUUGAUGGUCCCUUACUACAUGGAUAACCGUAGUAAUUCUAGAGCUAAUACAUGCACAAAGGCCCGACUCACGAAGGGCUGUAUUUAUUAGAUUUAAAGCCGACAUCUUUUGGUGAAUCAUAAUAACUUCGCAAAUCGCAGUAAUACUGCGAUAAAUCAUUCAAGUUUCUGCCCUAUCAUGCUCUCGAUGGUAGUGUAUUGGACUACCAUGGCUCUCACGGGUAACGGGGAAUUAGGGUUCGAUUCCGGAGAAGGAGCCUGAGAAACGGCUACUACAUCUAAGGAAGGCAGCAGG